Molecule: ribosomal RNA, 388 nt
Filed under: uncultured bacterium
Lineage: Bacteria
Description: bacterial SSU rRNA
Rfam family: Bacterial small subunit ribosomal RNA
Source: RNAcentral
AUUGAACGCUGGCGGCAGGCCUAACACAUGCAAGUCGAACGGCAGCGGGGGGAAGCUUGCUUCCCCGCCGGCGAGUGGCGGACGGGUGAGUAAUGCCUGGGGAGCUGCCCAAUCGAGGGGGAUACCAGUUGGAAACGACUGCUAAUACCGCAUACGCCUCGAGGGGGAAAGAUGGGGAUCUUCGGACCUAUCGCGAUUGGAUGCACCCAGGUGGGAUUAGCUAGUUGGUGAGGUAACGGCUCACCAAGGCGACGAUCUCUAGCUGGUCUGAGAGGAUGACCAGCCACACUGGAACUGAGACACGGUCCAGACUCCUACGGGAGGCAGCAGUGGGGAAUAUUGCACAAUGGGGGAAACCCUGAUGCAGCCAUGCCACGUGUGUGAAGAA